RNAcentral lists this ribosomal RNA (327 nucleotides) under uncultured eukaryote. RNAcentral describes it as "partial 18S ribosomal RNA". It matches the Rfam family "Eukaryotic small subunit ribosomal RNA", at positions 1470 to 1796 of the family's 1831-position model. The record is from RNAcentral.
CCCUUAGAUGUUCUGGGCCGCACGCGCGCUACACUGACGAAUGCAACGAGCUUAUAACCUUGGCCGAAAGGUCUGGGUAAUCUCCAAAUUUCGUCGUGAUGGGGAUAGAUUAUUGCAAUUAUUAAUCUUCAACGAGGAAUGCCUAGUAAGCGCAAGUCAUCAGCUUGCGUUGAUUGCGUCCCUGCCCUUUGUACACACCGCCCGUCGCUCCUACCGAUUGAAUGGUCCGGUGAAGCGUUCGGACCGUGGCCUUUGGACGGUUCGCCGUCUGUUGGCUGCGGGAAGUUCGUUAAACCUUAUCAUUUAGAGGAAGGAGAANUCGUANCA